AUCUUGACCAUCAGCAAUGGUUCCAACAUCAGUAAACUGCCAUUCCACCGCUGGCUCCAAGUCGAAUUCUCGCAAUGCCCGAAGAUAGCCACGAUAACGAUCACUAUUCAAAUCUUCAAGUUUGUCAUUGUAUCGAAUAGCUUGCUGCCCAGUGCAAAAUGCUAGCUUGCGAUAACCACGAUUCAAGAGAUAUUUAGUACCCGCAUACAUACCGCCUUCCUGAUCGGCACGCACCAUCAAAACCUCAGGAUCGGCAACGUAUUCAUUACAAAUACCAAUCAAACCGUAUUGCCGAUACUGCUUAAUCAAAUCCCAGUCAUUCUCAAUUGCGCACAUAAUCACAGCAUCGACCUGGUUCGUCUUGAGAAAUUCCAAGGCAUUCAGUUCGUGACUUUUCUGACCGAAUGUUUGCACAAUGACUGUCUUAUAGGAUCGCUCAUCAGCAGUGCGUUCAAUCGCUGCAACGAGUUCUGAAAAAAACGGGUUCGUAAUGUAAGGAACCGUCACGGCAAUCGUCUGCGAGCCAGAACCGCGCAUUUGUCGAGCAGCUUGAAGCGGUGUGUAACCCAACUUCGCCAUGGCAUCGGCAACCAGGGCCGCUUUGCGCGGUGAAACAUGUGGUUUGUGGUUAAUGAUCCGUGAUACCGUUGAAACCGAAACCCCGGCUAACUUUGCCACUUCUGAAAUCGUUGCCAUUUUUCACCGCUCCUCCACAUCUCCUUGAUUACAUGAAUAAUAUAGCGCUUUCAGAUUUCUUGUCAACGCUUUUUUGGUAUCGAUUUCAAAAACAAGCCAAAUCAAUUUUGUGAAUUUCUUUUUAAAAGUGUGACAUGCCGUUAACCAAUCCUUCACAAGUCACCACUGUCUUCGAUAAAAAUAUUUUUCCAUUGUUGUUCAUUGCGGUACGCUUAAGAAAACAAGAAAGGCAGGUUCAUCAUGCCCCAAUACCAACUCACACAACAAUCACGCUUCAAAAAGCACCUCAAGCAACUCCUCCAAGCUGGCCGCUUUACUCAGAACGACUUUGAACAAGUCACCAACUACUUGAAAACCGGCGACCCGCUGCCGGAAAAAUACGACGAUCAUGUCAUCAAAAGUCGCAAACCUGAUCGCGCUUUGUUCAUUAAAGGCAGCUGGUUGCUGAUCUAUCGGGUAGAAGAUUUGAAGGUACGGUUGCUGGACGUGGGGCGUCAUGGGGACAUUUAACGUUAUUUUGGUCUACUGUCGACCAAAGUUAAGGCGCCUUCUUUUGACAACCAACAACAAUUGGCAAGACGACAAUCUUUCAUGUUACUAUGUGCUUGGAGUAAAGCACAAAUUAUCAUUCGAUGAUCACUGCGGAGUGGUCAUCCGCGUUAUUGAAGGUCAGUCGAACGGAAGCGACUUCCUUUGCUAAGGAAGUCGUUUUUAUGUCCGGCCAUUACCAGCAGCGUUUAUUGGCCAUUUCUCACCGUUUAUUUCCCACAUUGUCCCCUCCCACCCCGCUGUGCUAAGCUGGCAUGAGGAAGGGGUGUGACUGCCAUGUACCGUUUGAUUGCGGUUGAUUUGGAUGACACAUUAUUAAAUUC
RNAcentral lists this ribosomal RNA (1568 nucleotides) under Lacticaseibacillus paracasei. RNAcentral's name for it is "Lactobacillus paracasei 16S ribosomal RNA". The record is from RNAcentral. Lineage: Bacteria; Bacillati; Bacillota; Bacilli; Lactobacillales; Lactobacillaceae.